This 107-nucleotide ribosomal RNA is filed under the name Acanthosepion pharaonis. The record is from RNAcentral. Lineage: Eukaryota; Metazoa; Mollusca; Cephalopoda; Sepiida; Sepiidae.
GCCAUAUCACGUUGAAGCACCGUUUUUCGUGCGAUUACCGAAGUUAAGCAACACCGAGCCUGGUCAGUAACUAGGUGAGUGACCGCUUGGGAAUACCAAACGCUGUA